AACGGGGAUAAAAAAAAUACCCCACCUCAAUAUCCUACCUUGGUAACUUGUUUUAAUUUUGGAAGACAAAACAAAAGAAUUCACGUUCCAACAAUCCCUUUCUCUACCCCUGCUUACAUGCUGUGCAUGUAUAUGUAUAUAUUUUAUUUUUUUGUGUUCUUUCUGUCAUGUGAAAUAAAUUUUAUAUACAUAGGCCGUUGGUGUAUCGUGAGGAAACGUGUGAGAGUGAAAUGAGGUUAUGGAUGAGUAUUGGGAACUGAAAUUUUGACUAAGUCUCGUCACUCAAAAAUCAAAAUCAGCACAUUUCCCUACAUGUGUGUCAUUACCAUUUAAUUCAAAGUUCUAGUUAAGGAAAAAA
This 358-nucleotide long non-coding RNA is filed under the name Olea europaea subsp. europaea. Lineage: Eukaryota; Viridiplantae; Streptophyta; Magnoliopsida; Lamiales; Oleaceae. The record is from RNAcentral.